This 257-nucleotide ribosomal RNA is filed under the name uncultured bacterium. RNAcentral's name for it is "partial 16S ribosomal RNA". It matches the Rfam family "Bacterial small subunit ribosomal RNA", at positions 524 to 776 of the family's 1533-position model. The record is from RNAcentral.
UACGAAGGGGGCUAGCGUUGCUCGGAAUGACUGGGCGUAAAGGGCGCGUAGGCGGUUCGUACAGCCAGACGUGAAAUUCCCGGGCUCAACCUGGGGGCUGCGUUUGAUACGUACGGGCUUGAGUUCGGAAGAGGGUCGUGGAAUUCCCAGUGUAGAGGUGGAAAUUCGUAGAUAUUGGGAAGAACACCGGUGGCGAAAGGCGGCGACCUGGUCCGAUACUGACGCUGAGGCGCGAAAGCGUGGGGGGAGCAAACAGG